Molecule: ribosomal RNA, 458 nt
Filed under: uncultured bacterium
Lineage: Bacteria
Description: partial 16S ribosomal RNA
Rfam family: Bacterial small subunit ribosomal RNA
Source: RNAcentral
CCUACGAGAGGCUGCAGUGGGGAAUAUUGCACAAUGGGGGACACCCUGAUGCCGCGACGCCGCGUGAGUGAAGAAGUAUUUCGGUAUGUAAAGCUCUAUCAGCAGGGAAGAAAUAGCGACCUUUGGGUCGCCAGACGGUACCUGAUUAAGAAGCACCGGCUAACUACGUGCCAGCAGCCGCGGUAAUACGUAGGGGGCAAGCGUUAUCCGGCUGUACUGGGUGGAAAGGGAGCGUCGACGGCAGCGCAAGUCUGAAGGGAAAUGCCGGGGCUUAACCCCGGAACUGCUUUGGCAACUGUGCAGCUAGAGUGCAGGAGAGGUAAGUGGAAUUCCUAGGGUAGCGGUUAAAUGCGUAGAUAUUAGGAGGAACACCAGUGGCGAAGGCGGCUUACUGGACUGUAACUGACGUUGAGGCUCGAAAGCGUGGGGAGCAAACAGGAUUAGAUACCCCAGUAGUC